UACUAAUUUAAUCACGAACAAAGACGGUGAAGUGUGCGGUUGGGGAGAGGCGAUGAUGUAAUUAGUGCAAUAAAUUUGCAAUUGUGGGUUACAGCUCUUCCAUAUUAAAGAGUAGGGAAAAGCCACGUAGAAAGUUAGAUUUACUGAAGAUAUUUUUACUGUGGAGAGGUAAACGAGUGGUGGAAAUGAGCACCGCUAAUCUUAAAUGGUGAAGUGAAAGAAAACCAUAAAUGGUGUAUUCCAUAUAAUAAUCAUUGUAAUCUAUGUGAAGACCCUCAGAAGCAACAAAGUGAAGGAAGUUACAGAUUCACUGUUUGGAAGCAAGAAGGGGUAAGUUCGUGUGAGAAUAUUCUAAUAAACCUAGUUUCAUAGGAAAUUUACUCUUUUCUGAUACAAUAAUACUAUUUUGAAUCUGUAAUGGAAUAAAUUUUGAAAUAUAAAUGGAUUUUCACUUACUUUUAAUUGCAGAUGAAUAGCGAAGAUAAAGUUUUACUGGUUGUUGGAUCUUGGGUCAGUGGCAUACAUAAAAGAUGGGUGUUCGAACCAGACCAUUCCUUCAUUGGUGAGCACUACAUUAACCUCUACCGUGAUAUGAACAUGUCUGAUUUAGUCAGAGGAGUAAGAGAGAAGAUAGAUCCAACUUAUGAAGGAGUCCAAUUGAAACUAUCUUAUCAAUACUACACUUGACAUUAAACACUAGCUGCAGAGUACAUCAUGUAUAUAUUUAAGUAUUAUAAUGGGAGCUUGGAGACAUGUAUUUACAUUCAUAAUGAGCCAGAUGAAAUACAAAACUAACUGAGGUGAUAAUAGAACAAUUGAGAGUAAUCACUAAACCCAAGUUAGGGGAAUAUAAACCCCAAGACAUAGGUAACGGAACCCAAACCUUUUUGAAAUUAAAUCCACCUGGCAUACUAGGGGACAUAUGUAUUUAGACGCUUCAUGAGUAAAAUCAAAUACAAAGAUAGGGGUAUGAUAAUAGAACACUUGACAUCAAAUACUAAACCCAAGAUAGGGAAAUAUAAACUCCAAUCCAGCACA
This 1038-nucleotide long non-coding RNA is filed under the name Brassica napus (rape). Its description in RNAcentral is "long non-coding RNA (BNAP_LNC016657)". The record is from RNAcentral. Lineage: Eukaryota; Viridiplantae; Streptophyta; Magnoliopsida; Brassicales; Brassicaceae.